AUUUGGGGACUUCUAUGUGAAGUCUUUGCCGAAGUCCACACCCUGGAAGAUGCAGGGAGGAUGAAAACGUGCCCAUCUGCCUCUGGCUUUUGAUUCCAGCCCCACCACAGCACAGCUGCCUUCGAAAACACAGGGCAGGAGCUUUCUGCAGCAGCGGCUGGUGGGACAGACAGAUGGACGGACACACACACACACAGGCAGCAGAACUGGAGCUUCCUGUAUCCACCACCGCAGUCACGACGCUGAACGCUGCGGCACCCCAAGGACGCCCUGGAUCACUCUUUUGCAACUGGACCGACCUCCUUCCUCUUCCUAAUCUGCCUCCAAGUCUCCAAGUCUGUUAUUUCAAGAAUCUUAUGUGAACGGAAUCAUACACCUUGUAACCUUCUGGGAGUGGCUUUUUCCCUCAAAAUCAUUCCCUGGAGAUUCCUGCAAGGUCUUGUGUGGCCCAGUCCGGGGUUCCUUUUCCCGAUCCGUGACGUGGAGGCACGACAGCAUCUUUAGCAUUCACCCACUGAAGGUCAACCAGGUGUUUCUGGUUUUUGGCUAUUAUGCAUAAGCUGCUAUGAACACUUGUAUACAGGUUCUUUUGUUUUUUAUUUUUAUUUUUUAGAGACAGGGUGUUGCUCUGUCGCCCAGGUUGGAGUGCAGUGGCACAAUCACAGCUCACUGUAGCCUCAAACUCCCAGGCUCAAGUGAUCCUCCCCACUCAGCCUUCUGAGUAGCUGGGACUACAAGUGUGCACCACCACGCCCUGCUAAUUUUUAAAGUUUUUUUAUAGAGACAGGGUCUUGCUAUGUUGCCUGGGCUGAUCGCAAACUCCUGACUAAGUAAUCCUCCCACCUCGGCCUCCAGGGUGUUGGGACUAUAGGCGUAAUCCACCACGCCCAGCCUUGUGUAUAGGUUUUGAUGCGAACCAAAGCUUCCAUUUCUCUGAGAUAAAUGGCCAAGAGCACAGUUGCCGGGUCUUAUGGCAGUUGUGUGUUUAGUUUUAUAAGAAACUGCCAAAUUGUUUUCCAGAGGGGCUGCACCAUGUGACAGGACCAGUAGCAGUUUCUUUUUCUUGUUCUUUUCUUUUUUUUUUUUUCGAGACGGAGUUUUGCUCUGUCGCCGAGGCUGGAGUGCAAUGGCACGAUCUCGGCUCACUGCAACUUGUACCUCCUCAGUUCAAGCAACUCUCCUGCCUCAGCCUCCCGAGUAGCUGGGAUUAUAGGCACCCGCCAUCAUGCCCAGCUAAUUUUUGUAGAGAUAGGGUUUCACCAUGUUGGCCAGGCUGGUUUCGAACUCCUGACCUCAGGUGAUCCACCCGCCUUGGCCUCCCAGAGUGCUGGGAUUACAGGCGUGAGCCACCACGCCUGGCCCCCAGUAGCAUUUUCUGAGUGAUCCUAUUUCUCUGCAUCCCCACCAGCAUUUGGCGUUGCCACUAUUUUUAAUUUCUGAUAGGUGUUGGUGGUAUCUCACUGUGGUUCUAAUUUGCAUUCCCCCCAUGGCUCAUGGGGUUGGACAGCUUUUCAUGUGCUCACUUGCCAUCUGUAUAUUCUCUUUGGUGAAAUGUCACCAUUGAAUUUGAAGCGAGUUUCUUGUAAACAGUGUAUGGUUAGGUUGUUUUUCAAAAAAUAGACUGCCAACCUCUUGCUUUUUA
This is a long non-coding RNA of Pan troglodytes (chimpanzee), 1642 nucleotides long. RefSeq lists it as uncharacterized. The record is from RefSeq and is a predicted model, not a curated record. NCBI's taxonomy places the organism in Eukaryota, Metazoa, Chordata, Mammalia, Primates, Hominidae. The transcript is spliced from 2 exons.